AACGCACAUUGCGCCCAGCAGCAAUCUGCUGGGCAUGCCUGUCCGAGCGUCAUUUCUGCCCUCGAGCGCGGUUCGCUUGCGAGCCGACGCCCGGUGUUGGGGCUCUGCGGGCUAGCCCCGCAGUCCCCGAAAUGUAGUGGCGGUCCCGCCGCGGCGCCCCCUGCGUAGUACUUUGUCUCGCAUCGGGUCCCGGCGAAGGCCAGCCGUCGAACCUUUCUUUAGAUGGUUUGACCUCGGAUCAGGUAGGGUUACCCGCUGAACUUAA
RNAcentral lists this unclassified non-coding RNA (265 nucleotides) under uncultured fungus. Its description in RNAcentral is "partial contains 5.8S ribosomal RNA, internal transcribed spacer 2, and large subunit ribosomal RNA". The record is from RNAcentral. Lineage: Eukaryota; Fungi.